AGAGUUUGAUCCUGGCUCAGAUUGAACGCUGGCGGCAUGCCUUACACAUGCAAGUCGAACGGCAGCACGGGUGCUUGCACCUGGUGGCGAGUGGCGAACGGGUGAGUAUUAUAUCGNGAACGUACCUUAUCGUGGGGGAUAACGCAGCGAAAGCUGCGCUAAUACCGCAUACGCCCUGAGGGGGAAAGCGGGGGACCGUAAGGCCUCGCGCGAUUAGAGCGGCCGAUAUCUGAUUAGCUUGUUGGUGGGGUAAAAGCCCACCAAGGCGACGAUCAGUAGCUGGUCUGAGAGGACGAUCAGCCACACUGGGACUGAGACACGGCCCAGACUCCUACGGGAGGCAGCAGUGGGGAAUUUUGGACAAUGGGGGCAACCCUGAUCCAGCAAUGCCGCGUGAGUGAAGAAGGCCUUCGGGUUGUAAAGCUCUUUUGUCAGGGAAGAAACAGCAGCUCUAACACAGUCUGCGAAUGACGGUACCUGAAGAAUAAGCACCGGCUAACUACGUGCCAGCAGCCGCGGUAAUACGUAGGGUGCAAGCGUUAAUCGGAAUUACUGGGCGUAAAGCGUGCGCAGGCGGUUAUACAAGACAGGCGUGAAAUCCCCGGG
RNAcentral lists this ribosomal RNA (606 nucleotides) under uncultured freshwater bacterium. Its description in RNAcentral is "bacterial SSU rRNA". It matches the Rfam family "Bacterial small subunit ribosomal RNA", at positions 8 to 607 of the family's 1533-position model. The record is from RNAcentral.